RNAcentral lists this unclassified non-coding RNA (182 nucleotides) under Oceanobacillus picturae. RNAcentral describes it as "T-box". Lineage: Bacteria; Bacillati; Bacillota; Bacilli; Caryophanales; Bacillaceae. The record is from RNAcentral.
UUUAUCUGGAAUGCGAAGUAAAUCUUUUUUUAGGCAGCAAAAAGAGACGGGGCGCUUGGUGUAAGUCCUGGCAGAAAAAGAUUGAAUUACACAUUCAUAUAGAGCGGAUAGUCAGGUUGAGAGGCUAACACACAUGUGUUGGCAAUCAGGGUGGUAACGCGGAGUAAAGCUUCGUCCCUAUA